RNAcentral lists this microRNA precursor (93 nucleotides) under Canis lupus familiaris (dog). RNAcentral describes it as "mir-8799 microRNA precursor family". It matches the Rfam family "mir-8799 microRNA precursor family". RNAcentral also lists the same sequence under 1 other name. The record is from Rfam by way of RNAcentral. Lineage: Eukaryota; Metazoa; Chordata; Mammalia; Carnivora; Canidae.
GGGGGAGCGUGGGAUCUUGGGCUGUGUCUCCCAGCGCCCUGGGCUCUGGGGUCUGCACUGCUGGUAUCGUGUUCCGGGGGCCACCAGUUCCCU